CAAUCCAAGCUCACAGUGAGCUUAGUGAGGUUCCAAGGAAGCUCGGAGUGCUUCGUUGGAAGUUUUUGGACGUAAGAACACGGAGAUGGAUAAGUUCAAAGUUUGGCCGGAGCUUUCGAGGCAUUUUCCGGCGAAUCCCCGGCGAGUUAGGCGUCGAAGUAGGUAUCAAUCUCUUCGUCUCGUCAAGUACUACAACUUUCCUUUUUGUUUCACUCAAUUUCGUUGAGUAUUGAAGAAGUUAUACUCAUUUGAAAAAAUACCCAGUUUCCGGCGACCUCCGAGGCUUUCGAGGCAGUUUCCGGCCAAACUACGGCGAACUAGGUGUUGGGAAAGGUACCAUUCUCUUUGUCUCUUCAAGGGCUACAACUUUCGUUUUUGAAUCACUUGAUUUCGUUGAGAAAUGACAAAGUUAUGGCAAUUUGAAAAACUGCCCAGAAAACGGCCGCCGGAAAAACCAGUCCGGCGACCCAAGGAAGAAGAAGGUGCUACAGUAAAAAUAAAAAAUAAAAAUAAAAUUAUUUUAAAAAUAUGUCGACGUCCGUGACGUCGAGUAGAUCACUGUGGUAUAUUCAUAUACCUAAAUUGAACACCGUAUGAGAAAGUUAUUGAAGAUUGUUGGUUAGGUGUUCAAAUAACGUCUUA
Molecule: long non-coding RNA, 642 nt
Filed under: Malus domestica (apple)
Lineage: Eukaryota; Viridiplantae; Streptophyta; Magnoliopsida; Rosales; Rosaceae
Description: long non-coding RNA (MDOM_LNC013389)
Source: RNAcentral